UAGGGGAUAGUAUAUUUGAUAAUACGGUAAUUUUUGGAGUUAUAGUUGAAGGUUUAAAUCCUUUUCCCUUAA
RNAcentral lists this transfer RNA (72 nucleotides) under Xenagama taylori. RNAcentral's name for it is "tRNA-Gln". It matches the Rfam family "tRNA". From Rfam's summary of the family: Transfer RNA (tRNA) molecules are approximately 80 nucleotides in length. The record is from RNAcentral. Lineage: Eukaryota; Metazoa; Chordata; Lepidosauria; Squamata; Agamidae.